UGGCGAACGGGUGCGUAACACGUGAGGAACCUGCCCCGGUCUCUGGAAUAACAGUGGGAAACCACUGCUAAUACCGGAUAUCUCCUCGGAACCGCAUGGCUCUGAGAAGAAAGGGUUACCGGAUCGGGAGGGUCUCGCGGCCUAUCAGCUUGUUGGUGGGGUAAUGGCCUACCAAGGCGACGACGGGUAGCCGGCCUGAGAGGGCGACCGGCCACACUGGGACUGAGACACGGCCCAG
This 238-nucleotide ribosomal RNA is filed under the name uncultured bacterium. RNAcentral describes it as "partial 16S ribosomal RNA". It matches the Rfam family "Bacterial small subunit ribosomal RNA", at positions 96 to 334 of the family's 1533-position model. The record is from RNAcentral.